Molecule: unclassified non-coding RNA, 1429 nt
Filed under: Leishmania donovani
Lineage: Eukaryota; Euglenozoa; Kinetoplastea; Trypanosomatida; Trypanosomatidae
Description: gene:unknown
Source: RNAcentral
GGGAUGUGACACUUCAGCACCCACUCUCUCUGUCUGGGAAAAGCCGGGCAGCCCCCUCCCCCAUGCCUUGCCAAGUGCCGAGCCGCUUCUGGUGGUGACGGGGUCAGGCGCCUACGCCGCAGGGGGGAGGGUUCAGAGCGAUGUGUCGCUGCUGGUGCCGGCGGUGGCGUCCUGGAUGACGUUGCAUCGGAGUGGCCCGCGACAGCGAGGCAGAUCUGUAUCCAUCCACAUGAUGGGCAGAGCGUCAUCGUGACCCGAGCGUCUCCCACCCGGCCCGGCCCUCACACCGCCCACUGGUGUGGGUGGGGUGCCCGAGCGCCACCGCGAGGGGGAUGCGCCCGGUGGCGGCCGGCAUGGUGGGCGCGGCUGCGCGGCGCCCCGCGAAGCAUGGGCUGUGGGCGUGGGUGGGGGCCGUGCUCUCCGAUGGCUGGGCCAGCGCGUUGCUGUGGCGCGUGUGUGUCUACGGCUGCCAUCGGCCCACGCGAGGUUGGGCCUGUGACGGAGGAGGAGGUGUAGACAGGCGUUCGACCUCGUGUCGUGCGGCAGAGAACGGACCCGUGGGAAGCGGAUGAAAGCGCUUCUCUCUCCCUGUCUUCCCGAUCAGCUCAUGCAUACGCGUUUGGGCAUGCUUCAUUCAGCACGCACGAGCGCCUACACGUAUGCACAGACACCAUUGGCAGAGGAUACAGUGGAAUGUAACGUGAAAGGGAGAGGGGGGGGGCGUGGCGGUGACGGUGGUGACUCAUGGAUGCGUGCUUUCACGUGUGUGUACGUGUGUACUUUGUCUCUCCGCAUGCGCGUCCGUCUGUGUGGAAAGCUCUUCGUGUACUCAGCGGCGAUUCACGUCUCUCUCGCUCUCGCUCUCUCUGUGCAUUAGCCGUUCUUCUCUGUUUCGGAUCCAUGUAUGUGCGUCGCAGCGCCUCUCAGCCGAUCUCUGGCGAAGAAGGAACGCUCGCAGGCUUCAGGUGGAUGACGACUGCGUCUGCAGCGGUGCUUCCGUCUCACUUUGCAUGCAGAUCGACACCACCACCGCCAUUGUGGCUUCUGCUCACAACGAAAGUCGGUAAAGGAAGUACACAGGAAAACAAAACGUGUGGUGCACGGGCUGCUCCUUUCCUCUUGCACCCCUCCACGUGGCGCCGUCUCUGUCGUCUCCCUCCUCCGCCCCUCUUCCCUUGGCGGGCUUCGGUUUUGCAGCUCGACUCCCUUUGUUUCUUCGCUGGAUGUCUUCCUUACUUUUUCGCUCGUGCUGUCUUCUGGGCUGCAGCGCGUGCGCAGGCACGCCGUUGUGCGCGUGCGAUACACAUACGCACACACGCUCGCACUUCCAUGAAGAUGGCGAAAACAACGUGUGCGGUUUCACGUGCGUCUCGCGCCAUACUUUCCGUUCCUGUUGCGGGCUUGCCGAGGCAGCCCCUACCUCCCACUU